GUUGCUAUAGUAAUUUCAGCCUGUCUUUUUAGUGUGUGUCCCUGUUGGAUGCUGUUUUGGAUCUGUUUACUGCCCUCCCUGCAGUUUAACAGCAGGUUAUUUGAAGGCUGCGUAUCCUGAGCGGUGAAUUGAUUCUCAGGAACUCAUCUAUCUGCGUUUGGAUCCUCCUUUUUCGUCCUGGGUGAUUAUUGCUGCGAUUCGACUUUUCCCUCGCUGCGCGCCGAGUGAACAACCUCGGCUUACAACUAUUUAAAAGGGGAUUUCUGCUGCUGCCGUUUGGCUUUUGUGAUUUUGUUUUAACUGGUAUUGUCUGGCCUACUGUGGGGUCAAGCAACGUGCAAGUAUCGGGGCUGGCUUAAGGACGACGCGGCCGCUCCUUUUGAGUUUUGCUUCCCUGAAACUUUUAAUAAAGUUUUUCAUUGUUUCUUUUAAGCGGUGUAUAUGGUGAAUCAUAUUGUGCUUCGGUGACCGUCCAUCGUAUUACGGUGGAAUUGUGACCUUAAUCCGCUUUUUCCUUCAUUUAUUUUGCUUUUGGUUUCUUUCAGGAGCUGGGGUCCCACGGGUGAAAGGUCUUUGGUGGUGCUAUUUCUACAUUUGCCGUGCGACACUUUUGACGUGUAUGAGUGGGUGCUCUGAGUUCACGGUGAGGUGUGUGUGUGUGUGUGUGUGUGUGUGUGUGUGUGUGUGUGUGUGUGGAAGUGUGCUUUUUGAUAAUUGGUGCUGAUCACUCCGGUGGGUAACCCCAGCCCUGUAUUUAAUGAUUCUAUUUUGCUUUGUUUAUUUGGAAGUUGUGUAAAUUGGUUGUUUAAUAUUUCGUGUCUGAUUGUUUAUUUUUGUUAUUUGUGUAAUUGUUACCGGACUGUUUUUACCAUUGAGAAUAUUUUCUUUUCGUUCUAUUUUAAUUUCAAGUUUUCAAUAAACUUUGUAUUUUUUAUACGAUG
Long non-coding RNA from Silurus meridionalis, 941 nucleotides. RefSeq lists it as uncharacterized. The record is from RefSeq and is a predicted model, not a curated record. Lineage: Eukaryota; Metazoa; Chordata; Actinopteri; Siluriformes; Siluridae. The transcript has 4 exons.